This 512-nucleotide ribosomal RNA is filed under the name Lasinus mikado. RNAcentral's name for it is "partial 16S ribosomal RNA". The stretch from base 382 to 512 matches the Rfam family "Bacterial large subunit ribosomal RNA", at positions 2473 to 2605 of the family's 2925-position model. Lineage: Eukaryota; Metazoa; Arthropoda; Insecta; Coleoptera; Staphylinidae. The record is from RNAcentral.
AUCUUUUUGAUUAUAUUUUAAGGUUUAAUCUGCCCACUGAAAUUUUUAAUGGCCGCAGUAAUUUAACUGUGCGAAGGUAGCAUAAUAAUUAGUUUUUUAAUUGAAAGCUGGAAUGAAUGAUUGGACGAGAAAAAAACUAUCUUUAUAUUAAAGUAUUAAAAUUUUAUUUUUAAGUUAAAAAGCUUAAAUUUAUUUAGAAGACGAGAAGACCCCAUAGAGUUUUAUAUUUAUAUUAUUUUUUAUAUUUGGAAAUUUAAUUAAUUUAUAAUUUUAAGUAUUUUAUUGGGGUGAUAUAAAAAAUUAAUAGGCUUUUUAUUAUAAAAACAAUAAUUAUUGAAUAUUUGAUCCUAAUAAUAGAUUAAUAGAUUAAAUUACCUUGGGGAUAACAGCGUAAUUUUUUUAAAGAGUUCAUAUCGAAAAAAAGAUUGCGACCUCGAUGUUGGAUUAAGAUUAAUAAUUGGUGUAGAAGUUAAUAUAUUAAGUCUGUUCGACUUUUAAAAUCUUACAUGAUC